AGGGCAAGUCUGGUGCCAGCAGCCGCGGUAAUUCCAGCUCCAAUAGCGUAUAUUAAAGUUGUUGCAGUUAAAAAGCUCGUAGUUGAAUUUCGGGGUUAGUAGGUUGGUCAUGCCUCAGGUAUGUACUGAUCUCACUGAUUCCUCCUUCCUGAUGAACCGUAAUGCCAUUAAUUUGGUGUUGCGGGGAAACUGGACUGUUACUUUGAAAAAAUUAGAGUGUUUAAAGCAGGCUAACGCUUGAAUACAUUAGCAUGGAAUAAUGAGAUAGGACGUUCGAUCCUAUUUUGUUGGUUUCUAGGAUUGACGUAAUGAUUAAUAGGGAUAGUUGGGGGCAUUAGUAUUCAAUUGUCAGAGGUGAAAUUCUUGGAUUUAUUGAAGACUAACUACUGCGAAAGCAUUUGCCAAGGAUGUUUUCAUUAAUCAAGAACGAAAGUUAGGGGAUCGAAGACGAUCAGAUACCGUCGUAGUCUUAACCAUAAACUAUGCCGACUAGGGAUCGGAUGAUGUUAAUUUUUUAAUGACUCAUUCGGCGCCUUACGGGAA
RNAcentral lists this ribosomal RNA (543 nucleotides) under uncultured Glomeromycotina. RNAcentral describes it as "SSU rRNA". It matches the Rfam family "Eukaryotic small subunit ribosomal RNA", at positions 552 to 1096 of the family's 1831-position model. Lineage: Eukaryota; Fungi; Glomeromycota. The record is from RNAcentral.